ACUACGGGGGGCAGCAGUGGGGGAUAUUGCACAAUGGGGGAAACCCUGAUGCAGCGACGCCGCGUGUGGGAAGACGGUCCUCUGGAUUGUAAACCACUGUUCCCAGGGACGAAGAUGACGGUACCUGGGGAGGAAGCGCCGGCUAACUACGUGCCAGCAGCCGCGGUAAUACGGAGGGAGCGAGCGUUGUCCGGAAUUACUGGGUGUAAAGGGAGCGUAGGUGGGACUGCAAGUUGGGUGUCAAAUCUACCGGCUCCACCGGUAGCCGCACUCAAAACUGCAGUUCUUGAGUGAAGUAGAGGCAGGCGGCAUUCCUGGUGUAGCGGUGAAAUGCGUAGAUAUUAGGAGGAACACCAGUGGCGAAGGCGGCCUGCUGGGCUUUUACUGACGCUGAGGCUCGAAAGUGUGGGGAGCAAACAGGAUUAGAUACCCCGGUAGUC
This 440-nucleotide ribosomal RNA is filed under the name uncultured bacterium. RNAcentral describes it as "partial 16S ribosomal RNA". It matches the Rfam family "Bacterial small subunit ribosomal RNA", at positions 338 to 795 of the family's 1533-position model. The record is from RNAcentral.